GGAGAAUGUUAUCACGGGAGACACACGGCGGGGGCUAACGUCCGACGUGAAGAGGGAAACAACCCCAGCCGCCAGCUAAGGUCCCAAAGUCAUGGGUAAGGGGGGAACCAUGUGGGCAGGCCCAGACAGCCAGGAUGUUGGCUUAGAAGCAGCCAUCAUUUAAAGAAAGCGUAAUAGCUCACUGGUCGAGUCGGCCUGCGCGGAAGAUGUAACGGGGCUAAACCAUGCACCGAAGCUGCGGCAGCGAACGUAUCACUUAAAGCGAUUCAGCGGGUUACGAUUGACGGAGCGAAGCGACGUCAAAGCGUAUACAAAGUCGAGUCGGUUUAAGGAUACGUUCGUUGGGUAGGGGAGCGUUCUGUAAGCCUGUGAAGGUGUGUCGUGAGGCAUGCUGGAGGUAUCAGAAGUGCGAAUGCUGACAUAAGUAACGAUAAAGCGGGUGAAAAGCCCGCUCGCCGGAAGACCAAGGGUUCCUGUCCAACGUUAAUCGGGGCAGGGUGAGUCGACCCCUAAGGCGAGGCCGAAAGGCGUAGUCGAUGGGAAACGGGUUAAUAUUCCCGUACUUGGUGUUACUGCGAAGGGGGGACGGAGAAGGCUAUGUUGGCCGGGCGACGGUUGUCCCGGUUUAAGCGUGUAGGCGUGUGUUCCAGGUAAAUCCGGUUCACUUUAACACUGAGGCGUGAUGACGAGGCACUACGGUGCUGAAGCAACAAAUGCCCUGCUUCCAGUAAAAGCCUCUAAGCAUCAGGUAACAUCAAAUCGUAC
RNAcentral lists this ribosomal RNA (765 nucleotides) under Salmonella enterica subsp. enterica serovar Derby. It matches the Rfam family "Bacterial large subunit ribosomal RNA", at positions 964 to 1647 of the family's 2925-position model. The record is from RNAcentral. Lineage: Bacteria; Pseudomonadati; Pseudomonadota; Gammaproteobacteria; Enterobacterales; Enterobacteriaceae.